GAUGAACGCUGGCGGCGUGCCUAAUACAUGCAAGUCGAGCGAACAGACGAGGAGCUUGCUCCUCUGACGUUAGAGGCGGGCGGGUGAGUAACACGUGGAUAACCUACCUAUAAGAGAGGGAUAACAUCGGGAGACAGGAGCUAAUACCGGAGAAUAUAGUGAACCGCAUGGUUGAAUAGUGAAAGACGGUGUUGCUGUCACUUAUAGAUGGAUCCGCGCCGCAUUAGCGAGUUGGUAAGGUAAAGGCUUACCAAGGCAACGAUGCGUAGCCGACCUGAGAGGGUGAUCGGCCACACUGGAACUGAGACACGGCCCAGACUCCUACGGGAGGCAGCAGUAGGGAAUCUUCCGCAAUGGGCGAAAGCCUGACGGAGCAACGCCGCGUGAGUGAUGAAGGUCUUCGGAUCGUAAAGCUCUGUUAUUAGGGAAGAACAAAUGUGUAGGUACCUAUGCUGUUCGUGACGGUACCUAACCAGAAAGCCACGGCUAACUACGUG
This 497-nucleotide ribosomal RNA is filed under the name uncultured bacterium. Its description in RNAcentral is "partial 16S ribosomal RNA". It matches the Rfam family "Bacterial small subunit ribosomal RNA", at positions 28 to 507 of the family's 1533-position model. The record is from RNAcentral.